RNAcentral lists this ribosomal RNA (497 nucleotides) under uncultured bacterium. RNAcentral describes it as "partial 16S ribosomal RNA". It matches the Rfam family "Bacterial small subunit ribosomal RNA", at positions 28 to 507 of the family's 1533-position model. The record is from RNAcentral.
GAUGAACGCUGGCGGCGUGCCUAAUACAUGCAAGUCGAGCGAACAGACGAGGAGCUUGCUCCUCUGACGUUAGCGGCUGACGGGUGAGUAACACGUGGAUAACCUUCCUAUAAGACUGGGAUAACUUCGGGAAACCGGAGCUAAUACCGGAUAAUAUAUUGAACCGCAGGGAUCAAUAGUGAAAGGCGGUUUUGCUGUCACAUAUAGAUGGAUCCGCGCCGCAUUAGCUAGUUGGUAAGGUAACGGCUUACCAAGGCAACGAUGCGUAGCCGACCUGAGAGGGUGAUCGGCCACACUGGAACUGAGACACGGUCCAGACUCCUACGGGAGGCAGCAGUAGGGAAUCUUCCGCAAUGGGCGAAAGCCUGACGGAGCAACGCCGCGUGAGUGAUGAAGGUCUUCGGAUCGUAAAGCUCUGUUAUUAGGGAAGAACAAAUGUGUAAGUAACUAUGCACGUCUUGACGGUACCUAAUCAGAAAGCCACGGCUAACUACGUG